UGGUAUAAUUCAAGGUAUAACUAUAAAAUUUAAAUAUCUAAAAAUGUCCGUGUAAACAGACUACCCUGA
This 69-nucleotide transfer RNA is filed under the name Champsodon atridorsalis. Its description in RNAcentral is "tRNA-Val". Lineage: Eukaryota; Metazoa; Chordata; Actinopteri; Acropomatiformes; Champsodontidae. The record is from RNAcentral.